UUCAGACAAAACGGACUAAACAAAAGCAGAGCGCAGACAAACUGUGAUUAGUGACAACAGUUUUCCCCAACGUGACAAAGCGGUGAACCUCGACCCCGAGUCACCUGUGAUCCCGUGCUGAGCCGACCCUGAGACAUUUCACAGGGCAGAGGACACUUCGGCCUGAAGGGGCAGCAGCUUGAAGGGUACGCGAAUACCUGCGCUAAAGAGGCCUCGUCUCAUUCUCAGAGGGAACCUGUGAGCGUGCUGACACACCUGGACGUGUCACUCCUGCCUGCUGCCAGCAGAGGUCGCUGCAGGCCUGAGGAACCGAUCGUACACGAGCAGUGUGUCGCAGGAAAAGCAGCUUGAUGACACAUUCGUGUAGAACAAGUUUUAGACAACACACCGGGUUUGUACACCUCACCUGGCGUCUACCUGAGGAGAGCACAGUUGACUGGACGGGUCUGAAACGGUACACACCUGUCUUUUUUCAAAACAACAACAACUGCAAACAGGUGGAAGGCCUGCUGAGCUCAGAGGCAGGAUGGUGCAGAGGAACACAUCUGUUGAAGGCUCAUCAAGGCUGUGACUGUUGAGUUAAGGGUGGUGGAGCAUCUGUCCAAUCAGGAGGGUCGACCCCUGGCCCCCCCGCAGUCUACCUGCCGACGUGUCCUGGACAACAUACUGAGGCUCUUCCAGGGUCGCUCCUGAUGAGCAGGUGUUGUUGGAGUGAACAGGUGAUCAAAAGAAGAAAUGUGGGGCAGUUUAGAAACCAAAGAGAAGACAGAAACCACACACAGAACCUUUUAUUUCUACAGGGGGACCAGGUCCUACAGUAGUCCAGAAGGGACAAACCAAACACUGGCUCUAGAACGGGACUUUUUAUUGGCCACCGAAGGACGGGGUGAGUCACGAGGUGUUCAGUUCAGUAUUCCUGCCACUGCGUGUUGCUAAAUCCUACGCACAUUAACAGAAAUGGGUACCAUGUAAUAAUAAUAACAACAAUAAUAAUUAUAUCAUAAACUGUCAGUGACAUUUAAAUUGUGGAGAAAAAGGGUAAAGUAAGUGAC
This is a long non-coding RNA of Scatophagus argus, 1052 nucleotides long. RefSeq lists it as uncharacterized. The record is from RefSeq and is a predicted model, not a curated record. NCBI's taxonomy places the organism in Eukaryota, Metazoa, Chordata, Actinopteri, Scatophagidae. The transcript has 4 exons.